GGAUCACUUUCUAACAAAGUUGACCUAAGGCUUUAAGAAGCCAAAGAAAAAACUCAACUCCAAAGGAAGCAAGUUGUGUGGAGAAAGGAGAGGCAACUCUUUUCAUACCUAUUAACAAAAGAAACAAAAAUGUGUUAGAAUGCGUAAUAGAAUAAAAAAGAUAAAAAAAAUAAAACCUAAUGCUAGAAUCAAAGGAAAUAAACUACCCAACCGAAAACCCGAAACAAUGGAAAACAACUUAAAUUUUUUUCGUUCAAGGUGCUCCCGAUUUCCAAAAAUCACAAAACUUAAA
This 292-nucleotide long non-coding RNA is filed under the name Gossypium raimondii (Peruvian cotton). RNAcentral describes it as "long non-coding RNA (GRAI_LNC004080)". Lineage: Eukaryota; Viridiplantae; Streptophyta; Magnoliopsida; Malvales; Malvaceae. The record is from RNAcentral.